Molecule: ribosomal RNA, 515 nt
Filed under: uncultured organism
Description: bacterial SSU rRNA
Rfam family: Bacterial small subunit ribosomal RNA
Source: RNAcentral
GCGUUGGAGUAUGUGGUUUAAUUCGAUGCUACGCGAAGAACCUUACCAGGGCUUGACAUGUCCGGAACCUUGCCGAAAGGUGAGGGUGCUUACGGGAACCGGAGCACAGGUGGUGCAUGGCUGUCGUCAGCUCGUGUCGUGAGAUGUUGGGUUAAGUCCCGCAACGAGCGCAACCCACGUUCUUAGUUGCCAGCAUUCAGUUGGGCACUCUAGGGAGACUGCCGGUGACAAACCGGAGGAAGGUGUGGAUGACGUCAAGUCAGCAUGCCCCUUACGUCCUGGGCUACACACGUACUACAAUGCUGUGGACAAAGGGCAGCCAGCCGGCGACGGUGAGCUAAUCCCAUAAACCACGGCACAGUUCAGAUUGCAGGCUGCAACUCGCCUGCAUGAAGGAGGAAUCGCUAGUAAUCGCAGGUCAGCAUACUGCGGUGAAUACGUUCCCGGGCCUUGUACACACCGCCCGUCACACCAUGGGAGUUGGUUUUGCCCGAAGUCGUUACUCCAACCUGCAA